RNAcentral lists this RNase P RNA (388 nucleotides) under Rhodospirillaceae bacterium. RNAcentral describes it as "RNase P RNA component class A". It matches the Rfam family "Bacterial RNase P class A". From Rfam's summary of the family: Ribonuclease P (RNase P) is a ubiquitous endoribonuclease, found in archaea, bacteria and eukarya as well as chloroplasts and mitochondria. Its best characterised activity is the generation of mature 5'-ends of tRNAs by cleaving the 5'-leader elements of precursor-tRNAs. Cellular RNase Ps are ribonucleoproteins. Lineage: Bacteria; Pseudomonadati; Pseudomonadota; Alphaproteobacteria; Rhodospirillales; Rhodospirillaceae. The record is from RNAcentral.
CCAGACAGUUGGAUGAUCGCUAUCUCGGGGUAUAAAAGGUAGAGGAAAGUCCGGGCUCCACGGAAACACGGUGCCGGGUAAUACCCGGCGGGGGUAACUCCAGGGAAAGUGCCACAGAAAGCAAACCGCCCAUAUUGGGUAAGGGUGAAAGGGUGUGGUAAGAGCACACCGCGCUAACGGUAACGUUGGCGGCAGGGUAAACCCCACUGGGAGCAAGACCAAAUAGGAAUGGCUCGUUUUCAAAAUAAUUUGAAAACACUUGAGUUUUCGCACGCUGUUCGGGUCGGUCGCUUGAGACGCUCGGUAACGUUCGUCCUAGAUGAAUGAUCAUCAAUCUUUGCUACUAACGCAGAGAUUACAGAACCCGGCUUAUAGACUGUCUGGCAUA